This 300-nucleotide ribosomal RNA is filed under the name Triticum aestivum (bread wheat). RNAcentral describes it as "partial small subunit ribosomal RNA". The record is from RNAcentral. Lineage: Eukaryota; Viridiplantae; Streptophyta; Magnoliopsida; Poales; Poaceae.
AUGGUGAUGCAUAGCAAUGAGAGGGGAGAAUGCAGUAGACUGAUGUUUAUUGCUGUUUUGUUAAUUGUACAGAACGAGGAAGCAUCCAAGGUUGAGUAUAGGGCUCCUGGAACACGUGUGAUGUACCUCGGAGCUGCCUUUAGAACAACCGUGUCUCAUGUGUCUGACAUUGUUGGACCGACUGGGUUGGUGUAUGCCGUUGAGUUCUCUCACCGGAGUGGUAGGGAUCUUGUCAACAUGGCCAAGAAGAGGACCAAUGUCAUCCCCAUCACUGAGGAUGCUAGGCACCCGGCAAAGUAA